Morone saxatilis (striped sea-bass) is the source of this 9725-nucleotide long non-coding RNA. RefSeq lists it as uncharacterized. The record is from RefSeq and is a predicted model, not a curated record. Lineage: Eukaryota; Metazoa; Chordata; Actinopteri; Moronidae. The transcript has 3 exons.
UUUCAACUUCGCUCGCAACCCGCGAUCUCCCCCGGUGCAAGCCAGACGAGCGACCAGACAGACAGACAGACAGACAGUCGGCGCCUUUUUUUUUUAACGCGAAGUCACCAUAUGGCUACAGGAUGCUGACACCUGCCCGGUGCGCAGAUAACAACAGCCGGGCAGCAUCACCCACUUCUUCAGACAGUGACAGGCAGCAGAUCAGUGGCUCGGUGGCUCAGAACCUAUUGUGGAGCUAACCUGGCUGCCAACAAUAAGACAUGAUGACAUUGUCCUGUUUUCACGCUGGAGGCCUCCCAGUAAGGAGUUCACUUCGAUACCUCUUCAGUGUGACAUGGAAACGGUCCUGCAGCCACCAGCGGAGCCGAGCUGAGCUGCAGAGCUUUAGAGCCCUGCUGAGACCUGCCAGACCCACAGCUUUCCCUGCCAGGGGCCUCGGCUCGCAGUCAGAGUGAGUUACAACCCAUGCCCCUGACACACACGCUAGUACAUGCACACACAUACAGAUAGCUUAAACAUGUACAGUGUGUUGGCAUGCAGGAGCACACGUACAGUAGAUGGAGCAUAUAGUGGAGAACUAUAAACUGAUACACACAAAGAGAAACAAAUACUGUCUGUAAAAAUGCAGACAAAUGCAAAUAUGUGCACACAUGUAAGUGAAUAGUGAGUGUAGCUCCACUGGACCGGUUAAUACAUGGUGAUGGCCAUUGCAUGGACGGUUACUUAUGUCCCUAACUUUUUUAUUCAAGUCACACACACACACAGAUAGGAUAUAUGUAAACAAAACAUGCUUGCACACAUAGUAAUGUGAGCAUGUCCUCUUACAGGAGCUCUAUCUGUCAGGGUUAGUUUGAGGUCAAGGUCCGGCAGCUGCUGGAUCAGAUGGAUUGAUCUGUCUGGGUAAACAUGUGAAGUGAAAAUGAGCAUGGUUACAAUUAAGGGAUUAGCUGAAGGCAUGUGUCUGUGUAAGGCACAGCAUCAGUAUGGGACAGCACAUACUCUGUGUAGAGUAGAGCAAUGUACCGAUAUAUCAGCUGCAUCGGUGUGUCAGCAUGUGCUUCUAAAUUAGUCUUUUCUCAUCAUGGCUCAGAUAGGAUCACCUAUCCUGUCAGCGCUCAUGUUUCUUUUUCUUUUCCUUUUUUUAACGGCAAAAAGUACUUCUACAUGUAAGCCAAUGGAUUGUCUGUUCUUAAUGAUGAGUGCAUUUAUACUGUACUACAGUUACAAGGUUCCCCAUGAGUUGAAAAUGUUUCGUGGUGUCAAGCCCUUAAAAAUGUAUUUAAUUCAAAAUAAAAUUAAUUAGUGACAGGGCAUUUAGGGCUGUUUUUCUUUGCAUAUUGAGAUUUUCAGAACAUUUUGAGUAGUAUUUCAUAAUUUUAUUUUUAUUGCUUUCCUUUUAUCAUUGAUGUUUUGUUAUCUACAAUAAUACCCAUUAUUGUCAAUCUUUUAUUUUUGUCCUAAUUGUUGUUAUUUUUGGUGGUUAUGGUGUUUUAGUCUCAAAAUCUAUUUUUUACAUCCCGUUUUGUCAGUUGCUCGUAAAGCACUUGUUUGAAAGGUUCUAUAUAAAUAAAGUUUGAUUGAUAUAUGUGGCUACAUUCAUACAGCCAGUGUUUGCAGCUGACAACCGUAUUUACGGAGGAAAAUGAACUGUAUUGUGUGUACUGUAUUACCGCAGGACACCAUUUGUAUGAGGAAAUGACCACAUGGACAAACGUCACCCAACCAUGUGUCAACAAAUCUCCCCAAAGGCAUGAUUGCUGGUUCAUUGAACAUCAUUAACAAUGUGACUAAAAUCAUUGACUGCUCCUCGUGCCAGGCAGUAUUACCAAAAUGUUGUAUCAUGAUAUUUUUUAAGAUUCUAGUGGUUUUACGGUAUAUCACGGUAUUUAGGGCCUUUAUAUCGGUUUAUGGUGGCUUAUUCUACUGUUAGGAAUGCAUAGAAUAUAAAAACAUUUCAGUGUCAUGUAUAUAUUAAAGGAGUUUUCUUGUCCCCACAAAAUAAUACAAUAUAUGAAGGAAUCAGAUUGUAAACAUUUUUUUAUUGUGCAAACUGUAAUGUGGUAAAUAUAAAAAUAAAAAAGAUCUGCCAACAAUACUGCUGCCUUUUAUUUCUUUUUAUAGUUUUUAUAAACACUUUAACCUGACAUAAUACUCAAAGUAUUCAAAUAUAUUUCUCAAAUGUUCUAUUGCGCAAGAAACAAAUGAGUUAGAGGAUGCGCUGGUAUUCAAAUCAUACGGGAGAUUAAAAUGGUUAUACUGGUUCAUCUGGUAUUAUCACCCAACUGGAGCUGGUCAUUCAAUGAACUGGAACUCUUCAAUACCAAUGUUUUUCAACCAAUCCAUCAUUCGGGAGGUCAUCACUGCCUUUGUCGACUGGUGUGAGUUAAACCAGCUUCACAUAAAAGCCAGCAAGACCAAGGAGAUGGUAGACUAACGCAGGAAAGCGGCCCAGAAUAAACCGGUGAACAUCCAGGUUGAGACGGUGACAACUUACAUAUACAUGUGUUCACCUCAACAAUAAACUGGACUGGUCCAACAACACAGAUGUCCUGUACAAGAAGGGGUCAAUGUAGUUUUCAUCUGCUGAGGAGACUGAGGUCCUUCAGUGUGUGCAGGACGCUGUUAAAAUCUUUCUACGACACUGUGGUGGCAUCUGCCAUCCUCUGUUGGGGAGCUGGAAGCAUAGACAGGGACAUAAAGACUUAAACUGUUGAAGAGGGCUAGUUCUGUCCUGGACUGCCCUCUACACUCCAUAGAGGAGGUGGAUGAGAGGAGGCUGUUAGCUGACGUCAAUUAUGCACAACACCUCUCACCACCUGCGUGAAACUGUGGGGUCCCUGAGGAGCUCCUUCAGCAACAGACUGCUGCACCCUCAGUGCAAGAAUGAGCGCCACCGCAGAUCAUUCAUUCCAACAGCUGCAACUCUUAUUCUGUUUUUUCUAUUUUCAUUAGAUCUUGUAUUUUUGUAUUUUACUUAUUUUUUCAUUUAGUGUGUAUUUUCUUAUCUGUGCUGUAUCUGGAGCUGCUGUAGCGAGUCAAUUUCCCCAGUGUGGGAUCAAUAAAGUUUAUUUUAUCUUAUUUUAUUCCAGCAUACACAAGUGGCAACUGUUGUAGUUAAUGUAUGGUUUAAUUAUGUAAUUAAAACCACUUUUUAAAGCUAGGAGAAUAUUGUAAUCACCACCUGGUUUAAGAGAAAUGAUCAGUUUUAGAUAUCAUAGUCUGUUUAGAGGUGUUGGGGAUGACUGCUACACAUGUGAAAUAUGAAAUAAACCUUCCCAUCCAAACAGAGCUGAAAUCUGAUUAAUUACCUCCAUUGAUGUCAUUUGAGUCAGCAUUAGGGUCUGAAGACUACAAGUUUGGAAAUGAGAAAAAAAAUAUAAUUGUUUGGAGUUAGGAGCUCAAGACACAUUAGCCGCUACUAGCAUUGCAGUCAAAUCUCAGACUGUUGGCGGUUGAGUUGCAUUGUGGAUGAAGUAGGCGCCAGGUUUUGACAAAAAAAAAAAAAAGACUGGUUCUGCUGCAUCGAUUUUGAAUUGUCCAUUUUAAGUUCAACAAAAUUAUGAAUCAGUGGAGUUUAAGACGAGGGAAAGUUGAUGUUUAGAAAUUAAAAUACAUUGUUAUGAGGAGGUUCUAGACGGAUUGUUUGAUCACGGUUCGAGGCCAAAGGUCCAAUUUAUGACCGAGUGGACCACACUGAGUGUUUGUUCUGUAGGUUUUGGGGUCCUAGGUGGUAGAAGAAUCUGAGUUACACAUCACUCUUACUUGCCUGGUUUAACCUCGUUAUCAUUCCCUUUUACAAUGGACAAAUUUAGCACUCACAUGAGGGCUGACAAAACGCUUUUCACUGGCUGUAUGAAUUUAUUUUACAGCAGUAUUAUAUUGUGUGUGAGCGUGAGUAGCUGUAGAGCUUGCGUCUACAUUAAUCCCAGGAAUGUUGAUGUGGUUCAGAGUUUGAUAGAAUGAGGCGUGGGUGAAGUAAGAGUCCACCGGAGCAGAGUUGAGGUCUUAAAGUACUAAAAAGCCUUGACCCAGACCCUACACGCUUACUCACAGAGACACAGCACUUCUUUUCCAUCCCAGCACAUGCUUUUAUACUAGCUAUGCAUCAAAAAACACGACAAACAAAAGGAAGACAAAAAGGAUAUGAACUUAAAUGAAAAACAUUAUCGUUUGUUAGAUAAAGAUGAGCACGAAAUGUACCCAGUCACAGACGUUGAUGCGUUUCCCAUCCACAGCUCAAACAAACGCACAUACACAACCAAACACAUCCCUGUUGUCUUGUGUUGCUCGUCAUGCAAUGAGGAGCACAUGACUUAAAUCGGGUGUGGUGCAUGACCUCUUAUCGGACAAAAGCGUCCCACAGAGAGAGCUGAUGGGGGAGACUGCCUCCCCUCCUCUCGGCAGUCAUGAGGUCUCCAUCCCGUUCGCCACGCUGUGUCUCGUGGUUCAAAGACCAUAAAAUGUUGGCGGCGUCUUGUCAAUAAAUCAGCUGUUUAGCCUGAGGAGAACGGCAGUAACGGGGGGGAGAAAGUGCAAAAUACUUAUUUUUAAGACAUAUUUUGCAAGAAUGACUCCUUUGAAAUUUUUGUCGCGUCCUAUUAAUGUCUCACCUAGAGGGCCUAAUGUUUCUCUGUGAGAAUGGUUGGUUUGUAAUUCAUGCAUUCACCCUGAAGCCUCUACAUGCUCAUGCACUCAUGCAGAGCUAAAUGCAAAUAUUCCAAUGACAGAAGCGGUAUACUCUUUUAUCUCAUUUACUGAUCUCUUUUCAGUGUCUUUGUGAUGAGCUCUAAUCAUCUAAUUGUCAUAAUGAUGAUGAUAUCUGUGUGCUAGAGUAAUGAGUUGUAUGUCUUAUAUCUUACAGGGAUAAUUUUUUCACUGUUUCCUCACCAUAUUGUGGUUUCAGUGACAGGACUAACAUCCUAGCAGUACUGAUGUUUUCACUGAAACUUUUGCAACAGUUUAGUGACUCAAUUAGGAUGUACUUAAAAUACCACAUAUUUUAAUGUUGCAUGGUAGGUUUCAUAGGCAGGUAGUUGAAAAUGCUUCUGCAGGUGUUAAAAUGGCUAAUAAACUUAAAUAAACUUGUUCCACCACCAGGGCAAGGUAUCUUUUUAGAAAUCAGUAAAAUGGAGGCCAGUGAGGGUUUUAAAAGUUUACUACUGAACGUCCUCUCAGAACGUUGCCUCUUCGCUUCGGUUGAUGGCUGACAAAGUGUAACCAAAAGGGUGAAAUAAAAUUGAGCAGAAAAGUGUGAGGAUAUCAGUCCCUUGUGCAUGUGUUUCUGUGUAAAAGCCAGCUGUCUCAUGACAAGGCAGCGUCAUUGAGAGGCAUUUCCCCCAGGCAACAGGCCACUGUCCACUUAGGGCACAGCAGUAUUCUCUAACACAAGCUUACUGGGUUCAUCCACUGUCGAGAUGUUAAAAGGACUGAUUGUCAUGUGUACUGCUGAUGGCUGUAUGAAAAUCAAGUAAAAGAAGCUGUGAAUCGCAGGCCUGUAUAUAUGUGACCAUGGCUAAUUGUGGAAUGAACUGAAGAAUGAUGGAUUGGGGGAUGUAAAGACAGAUGCAAAGACAGUUGUCCCCUCAAGUGAUGGCUACCUUGAGGAGUCAAUUACUUUGAUCAUCUACACAGUGUUAAAAGCAUAAGUGGAGUAAAAUCAGGUCUGUAAAAUGUUUUAUUCUUGGAUUAUGUAUACUAAUUAUGUGUAAUAUGUCGAAUAAAGAUUCUGUUCCAAAUUAUAUUAGACAAGUUGUUGUCUCUGUGUUUUUGGUUCCUGCUAUUUAAAUUUUAUUUUAUUUUUUUAAAACAGCUGGGUACUGUAUCUUUUUACCAAACAUCACUCAAACAGGAGUAUACUUGUUGGGGACUCCUUUCAGCCAUAGAAUAAUGCAUAUAUAUAGGAUGCAUAUAUAGGAAUAAGCUAUAUGUAAGUGUUUUUUAAGGGGAUUUCUGCAUUAAAAAAACACAUUGAUCAUGUGACUUCUUAAUUCAUAAAUUAUACGUGUACAUAUGCAGUUUAUUUAGCUGCUGUUCAUGGUAACUGCUAUGAUGAAGGGCUACAAAUAUAACAUUUGUACCCUGCUCCUCAAAGUUACAGUAAGACAUGAAGUAUGAUUCGUUAAUUUGCUCGAGUGCGCGUCACAUGAAGGUUUAAGUUUCCCAUUUACAAUAAUUGGUCACAAAAUAUUUUCAUUUCAUUCAGAACAUCUGCUAUGGUUGACAACAUUGAUGGAACAUCUCAAAAAUCGUUUACAGUACAACAUUUACACACACACACACACAAGCAUGUUUGGGGUAGUAGCAGGAAGCUUAUGCAGUUCUUGGAAAGAAAAAAAUGGUUAUCAUGCUUCAACUGCUAUGUAAAACAGAGAAGUUAGGCCUCCAUUCUCAAUGCAAAAAAAAAUGCAAAGUGACAGAUAAAGAAGAACUUCUGAACUCAGUAGGGAGAACAAAAUGUGUAAACUUGUUGAGCUCAGCCUGUCUGAUGAUGUGACGGUCACUCUCACACACAGACACACACACACACACAAACAAACACAGGACUAAUGAGUCACACAUUCCAUGCAUAUAAAAUAUGCUGCUCUCUCACAAAUGUUUGAUAAGUUAGAUCAUUGUGUUGGACUUUCUGUGGUAUGUUACAUGCUGCUGUUUGCCAGCACUAAAAAAAAAGUUGACUUGUUUUCCCAGAGAAAGAGGGACGACAGAAAUACUUACAACUUUGAGAUGUUUUAAAAUAGAUGCUCUUUAAUUGCAGCAGUUUUCAGUACCUUAUCUGGUAUGUGUUGAUAUCACUGUUAUUCAUGUCUGAAGAAUCUGUGGUGAGUGUUUGUGCGAGUUCCUGAGGCACAGUUUGGCAAACCACAAAAUUCCUUCAAAUCCCCCCCCCACCCCCCAAAUUAUUAACUGCUCUGAACAAAGCAAAUUGUAAACUGUUGAAAUGUCACAUGAAGCCUAGUUUGAAUAAAAUAUAGCGCCGGUGGACAGGGUGUUAACAUGUUAAUAUCUGUCCUUGAUCACUUGUUACGAAAGCUCAUGCCACACCUGAGCUGUGGGAAAACACCUGUCUAAUGAAUUUAAAGACAAAAGAAGGGAAAAAAAAUAUAUUUUACCUACCAACUAAGACUUGAAAAGCAGUUUAACUGUGGGAGGUUGAUGACAUACCCCACCCAAAGAGCUGCAUCAUGUGGUCCAUUCACAAAGCCUAUGAGCCCAACCCUGGAGCUGCAUCUCAUGGCCUACCCAUAAUGCCUAUGAGCCUGACUCAGGAGCUGCAUCAGGAGGCCUGGUCUUACAGCCUGUGAUCCACACCCUGGAGCUGCACCGGAGGAACUGCUUACAUAGUCCAGCGGGACUAGUCUAGGAUUUGCAAACACGCAGACACGCCUUAUCUGUGCUGCAUUUCUGCCAGACACUGAACAGACACUCGCAGAUAAAACAGCAAAGGCACAAAGCCAGAUGAACUCACACCUACGAACUUUAAAUACAGCUCCUCGUAUCCUAUGUUCAAAACACCCGUUGUUAACAAUAACUAAAUGUGGUUACAAGGCCAAAAUGUCCGCUGUAACUUGUGUGUUUAUCAUCGGUAAAUAUACACAGAUGUUAGCGUCCAGUGUAGCUCGUGAACAAUGCUGGCAGCUCCACACCUUCAGCACAAGGGACACAUUAAGAGAAAUAGUAGGAGGAACUGGCCCACUCACUCUACAGGCCAGUCCCUAGUGUGUGUAAGUGUGUGUGAGCUCGCACACGUGAGUGUUUUAAUGUAAAAUGUCCUCAUCCUUAAGAGUGGAGUGAAAAUCUUACUGCAAGUCACAAGGAUUGCAACAUGCUGAAAGUCUAAAAGUAUAGUAUGAAAUCAAGAGCUUAAAGACUUCUCAGAAAAUGUCACACUAUUCAGUUCUACCCAAAGUUCACGUUCAGUUUUGAACUUAUCUCAGAAUAAGGCCACUUUAGAGCAGCUUCAUGUGUGAGUGCAUGUGCUAAAUUACCUCAGUGUCAAGCAUGAUGAAUUAUUGACCAUCAAAUGUUCUUCUUACUUGCAUUAGUCAAGUCCCACAGAGGGAGAUGAUGUUUCAGAUGCAAAUAGAGAGAGAGAGGCCACGCUCACUUCGCUGGCAUGUUCCAUUGCUCAACCUGUUGAUCAAGCUUUUCCCCAAAGGGCCUGAAUGCUUAUUUCACUAUGAGCUGUUUCUGUCAGAAGCGGCACCAAGCACAGGUGGUUUGUCUGCCAACUGCCCAGAGCUAAAUGGAUACAUUUAUUUAAAACAAUUGCAUAAGCUGGGUAUACUGUAGGUGUAAAUCAUGUACAAACUACAUGUGCAAGUUUGUGCAAAUCAUUUGCAAACUGAAUCAUCCAAAAAAAAAAAAAAAAAACUGAGCAGGGUUUUGAUCUGCAAAACACCCUAUUUUUGCCUUUAUGAAACCAAGAUGUUGGUAAUGAUGUGGGUGAAAGGCUGAACUGACAAUACGCAGUUGCCAGGGAAUGAACGUCUGCAUUUUGCAAGAGUAUGAAAUCUCUAAUUUCAACAGCAAUCCCUAUGGCCUACAGCGACAUAUGACCCCAACACCACACUUGGUCACUGGUAUGGUUGGCGGUGAACACACUCACACGGACGCGUUUGCACACACACAUGCACAGGAGGACCCUGCACUCGCCCCGGCGUGCACUCCCUCUUAGCAAUCCCUCUUUUUUCCGAUGGCCGUCGCGAGUAGCAGACGGUUUUGCCAUCCCUCUCCCAAAAUAGCCACCCGUUAGCACAGCCAGGUCAGAUGGUUUUGAAACAUCCAUGGCAAACGGUGCUGGAGUGGAGGGGUGGAGGGGGCAACAAGUGCGUGACCACCUCUUGGAGAGCUCCAGAGAGGCGGUCAUGGGUGGGCCUCAAGUGGAGGUUUCUUUCACACUUGGGUGACAAUGAGUGCUGGGGAACAAACGAGAGCUGUCUAAGAAAAACUUGUGAUGUGUGUGUGAAUGCGUUUGCAAGCAACAGGUGGUGGGCAUUUGAUUCUUAACAUUUUAACAUAUGGAUAAGGAGAGCCAAAGUCAUGGCGUCCCGGGUUCAAUUUCCAGAGGACGACAUUAGAAAUUUUCUACUUUGUGAUUUUAAAAUUGCUGUUAAAGCAUCAACACUUAUAAACAAACGCAAGCAACAGUGGUUUCUAAGAAACAUAACCAAAAAAUCAUUUGUGUUGAAUUCAUUUGUGUUUUCACAGAGUAAUCAGAACCAUGACAAAAGGGAUUAUGAACGUCGACUCAAUAAAAAAAAAAUUGCUGACAAAUUUAUAGGCAGUAGUGAGAAAUCACAUGCACCAUCUGGUUUGACUGAUGUUGUAUUGAAAGUACUUUUAGCCAUGCUAGUGCACACAAUCUGCGGAGGAGUUGGCUAAAAGUUAAAAUGAUCUGGAGCCAGGCAAAGCAGAAGAUAGAUCUAAUCGUCCUCUCUGUGUGUCUCUUUCACAGGCGGGCAUUUUGCUUAUUGAUUCAUCAGAGAAGUAGGCCGAAGCUUGACAUAGCAACCCAACAUGCAGUCUCCUAAUGACUUAACCACAUCAACUCUUUUUUCUUCUGUGCUGUUCACCCUCCCUCCAUCUCUCCCUUCAGGCACCAACCGUGGCUAGAACACGUAACCUCCCCACCCCCAACUCCGCCCUCUCAAUCUCCAGGCAGAACCAGAUCUUCAUGGCUGCGGUGAGACCAGAUCAACCAAUGCAGUUGCAGAGCGUAGAUCAAG